RNAcentral lists this ribosomal RNA (492 nucleotides) under uncultured bacterium. RNAcentral's name for it is "partial 16S ribosomal RNA". It matches the Rfam family "Bacterial small subunit ribosomal RNA", at positions 29 to 507 of the family's 1533-position model. The record is from RNAcentral.
AUUGAACGCUGGCGGCAUGCUUUACACACGCAAGUCGAACGGUAACAGGCCUUCGGGUGCUGACGAGUGGCGAACGGGUGCGUAAUGCAUCGGAACGUGCCCAGAGGUGGGGGAUAACGCAGCGAAAGCUGUGCUAAUACCGCAUGUGAUCUGAGGAUGAAAGCGGGGGACCAGGCAGCAAUGUUUGGCCUCGCGCCUUUGGAGCGGCCGAUGUCAGAUUAGGUAGUUGGUGGGGUAAAGGCCUACCAAGCCGACGAUCUGUAGCUGGUCUGAGAGGACGACCAGCCACACUGGGACUGAGACACGGCCCAGACUCCUACGGGAGGCAGCAGUGGGGAAUUUUGGACAAUGGGCGCAAGCCUGAUCCAGCAAUGCCGCGUGCGGGAAGAAGGCCUUCGGGUUGUAAACCGCUUUUGUACGGAACGAAAAGGCUCUGGCUAAUACCUGGGGCUGAUGACGGUACCGGAAGAAUAAGCACCGGCUAACUACGUG